CCUCCGACAAUAACAACAACUUCAGAGGCGACUUUCCAGCCUUCUCCAUGCAGAUCGAACUCUCAAUAAUACCCGUAAUAGGCCUUCGAGGCUCUUUCAGUCAGUUGUUGCUACUUCAGAUGUAGAGUUUGUUUUAUACACUCGGGGCUCUGUUUGUAGCGUCUUACAGGAUUAGCAGUUCAGAUGUCACUCGUGCACCUCUGUUGGAAAAAGUGAACAUGCGGGCAGAGAGGCAGGUAGAGCAAGAGAGCUUAAGUCACUGAAAACUUACAGAAAAUUCCAGAAAAAUCCAGGUUCUGGCUGAGACCAACUGCGUGUAGUAAUCCUGUAAGUGAUGCCCAAAAGAAAUGAUGUAUAUUUUCAAUAUUUCACUUUUCUGUUUAUCAGUGGGCAAGGAUAGAUUGCCGUGAAGCGCAUUCAGUGGACAGGUUAUUGACUCUGACUGAGAUCGCUCCAUGUCAAAAUUUUACUUAACCUGUUUAUACUUAAUCACUUUCUUGGAUGCAUCUGUACCACGGCACCAAAAAAACCUAAGAGGAAAAGCUAUUUCCUGAAGUUUGGGACAAUCUACUAUCACUGAGGAAUUCAAAAAUGCAUUUGGCCUCUCAGUAAGACCUAGAGUCAGAUACCCUAGGCAUCUGAAGAUCACAGUCAAAUAAGCUGCAAAAUCAGUUAUAACUGCAACUCUUUCCUUCUGAAGAAAGACUAAAUGAUGUCUAAUUUAUAAAGUUUCGUUCAAUAUCGAGUAUCUUUGAUGGUCAUCUGCAAUGAAUUAAACAUAAAAAGAGUUACAAAAUGCAUUUGUUAUAUUUUGGUAAAGAUUUGAUAACAAUGAGCAAAACAUUGUUUGUCUUUGCAUUAAGCAUUCAAAAGCGGCUAAAAGUUGACAUAAAUAUGAACAGGUUUGUACCAGUUAGUAGUAACUUUAUAAAUCAGUCACCUUUAAAAAAGUGAACAAUUACGCAUAAUUAAUAAUUAAUGUUGAUAGAAAUGAGAAUUGGUUUUAUUCCAAUGAUAGUUAUUGCAUCCACUAAAACAAAUUCUCUCAUACACUGAAAAAAAAAUCAGUUUAAUUCACGUAAGUUUUGCAAGCUGUGCUGUUUCACUCAAAUCACAUUGAAGACAAAAUUUAUUGUCAAAUUUGAAAGUAGGCAUUGAUUGUAUUGUGGGUCUACA
Stegostoma tigrinum is the source of this 1176-nucleotide long non-coding RNA. RefSeq lists it as uncharacterized. NCBI's taxonomy places the organism in Eukaryota, Metazoa, Chordata, Chondrichthyes, Orectolobiformes, Stegostomatidae. The transcript has 4 exons. The record is from RefSeq and is a predicted model, not a curated record.